CAAGUGCUUUGGCAUUUGUGGAGUGGCCGUUGGGAUACCAUCCUUGCGAUAUUGGAAUUCUAACCUGCGCCUUUGAAUCAAGGCGGGGGACAUUGUUAGGUGGGCAGUUUGACUGGGGCGGUCGCCUCCUAAAGAGUAACGGAGGCGUUCAAAGGUUCGCUCAGCUUGAACGGAAAUCAAGCAAAAGAGUGCAAACGCAGAAGCGAGCCUAACUGCGAGACUGACGGGUCGAGCAGUAACGAAAGUUGGAGUUAGUGAUCCGGUGGUAUGUGAGUGGAAAUGCCAUCGCUCAACGGAUAAAAGUUACCCUGGGGAUAACAGGCUGAUCUCCCCCAAGAGUCCACAUCGACGGGGAGGUUUGGCACCUCGAUGUCGGCUCAUCGCAUCCUGGGGCUGUAUUCGGUCCCAAGGGUUUGGCUGUUCGCCAAUUAAAGCGGUACGCGAGCUGGGUUCAGAACGUCGUGAGACAGUUCGGUCCCUAUCUGUCGUGGGCGCAGGAUAUUUGAUGGGAGCUGUUCCUAGUACGAGAGGACCGGAGCGGACGUACCUCUGGCGCACCAGUUGUUCUGCCAAGGGCAUAGCUGGGCAACUAUGUACGGAUCGGAUAAACGCUGAAAGCAUCUAAGCGUGAAGCCGACCCAAAGAUAAGAUAUCCCAUUGUUU
This 663-nucleotide ribosomal RNA is filed under the name Faecalibacterium prausnitzii. RNAcentral's name for it is "partial 23S ribosomal RNA". It matches the Rfam family "Bacterial large subunit ribosomal RNA", at positions 2163 to 2822 of the family's 2925-position model. Lineage: Bacteria; Bacillati; Bacillota; Clostridia; Eubacteriales; Oscillospiraceae. The record is from RNAcentral.